Molecule: ribosomal RNA, 446 nt
Filed under: uncultured bacterium
Lineage: Bacteria
Description: bacterial SSU rRNA
Rfam family: Bacterial small subunit ribosomal RNA
Source: RNAcentral
UCCAGACUCCUACGGGAGGCAGCAGUGGGGGAUAUUGCACAAUGGGGGGAACCCUGAUGCAGCGACGCCGCGUGGGUGAAGGAGCGUUUCGGCGCGUAAAGCCCUCUCGGCAGGGAAGAAGGAGGACGGUACCUGACUAAGAAGCCCCGGCUAACUACGUGCCAGCAGCCGCGGUAAUACGUAGGGGGCAAGCGUUAUCCGGAUUUACUGGGUGUAAAGGGGGCGCAGACGGCAGCGCAAGCCAGGAGUGAAAGCCCGGGGCCCAACCCCGGGACUGCUCUUGGAACUGCGCGGCUGGAGUGCAGGAGGGGCAGGCGGAAUUCCUGGUGUAGCGGUGAGAUGCGUAGAUAUCAGGAGGAACACCGGUGGCGAAGGCGGCCUGCUGGACUGCGACUGACGUUGAGGCCCGAAAGCGUGGGGAGCAAACAGGAUUAGAUACCCUGGUA